UAAGCUGUUCCUCUCAUCGCUCUUUGUCUUAAUAAAGGGAGGAAAGUCCGGACACCACAGAGCACCAUGCUUUCUAACGGAAAGGACUCGCCCUUUGGGCGGGGACAGAAAGUGCAACAGAAAUGAUACCGCCCGGAACUUGUUUCCGGGUAAGGGUGAAAUUGUGAGGUAAGAGCUCACAGCCGAUGGAGGCGACUUCACGGAAGGCAAACCUCAUGGGGUGCAAGGCCACGUAUACCGGCUUAGGGCUGCUCGCCCGUGCCGGGGGGUAGGCUGCUACAGGUUUAUGGCAACAUAAAUCGCAGAUAAAUGAUGAGAGUUGGCUUCGGUCAAUUACAGAAUCCGGCUUAUGGAACAGCUUAUUUU
RNAcentral lists this RNase P RNA (366 nucleotides) under Bacteroidetes bacterium HGW-Bacteroidetes-6. RNAcentral describes it as "RNase P RNA component class A". It matches the Rfam family "Bacterial RNase P class A". Rfam says of the family: Ribonuclease P (RNase P) is a ubiquitous endoribonuclease, found in archaea, bacteria and eukarya as well as chloroplasts and mitochondria. Its best characterised activity is the generation of mature 5'-ends of tRNAs by cleaving the 5'-leader elements of precursor-tRNAs. Lineage: Bacteria; Pseudomonadati; Bacteroidota. The record is from RNAcentral.